Molecule: long non-coding RNA, 1222 nt
Filed under: Oncorhynchus mykiss (rainbow trout)
Lineage: Eukaryota; Metazoa; Chordata; Actinopteri; Salmoniformes; Salmonidae
Description: lncRNA (ENSOMYG00000059015.1)
Source: RNAcentral
UAACCUCAGACAGGAAGACAGUGAGCAGCACCUGCGUAACCUCACAGACAGGAAGUCAGUGAGCAGCACCUGUGUAACUUCACAGACAGGAAGACAGUGAGCAGCACCUGUGUAACCUCACAGACAGGAAGUCAGUGAGCAGCACCUGCGUAACCUCGCAGACAGGAAGUCAGUGAGUAGCACCUGUGUAACCUCACAGACAGGAAGACAGUGAGCAGCACCUGUGUAACCUCACAGACAGGAAGUCACUGAGCAGCACCUGUGUAACCUCACAGACAGGAAGUCAGUGAGCAGUACCUGUGUAACCUCACAGACAGGAAGUCAGUGAGCAGCACCUGUGUAACCUCACAGACAGGAAGACAGUGAGCAGCACCUGCGUAACCUCACAGACAGGAAGUCAGUGAGCAGCACCUGUGUAACCUCAUAGACAGGAAGACAGUGAGCAGUACCUGCAUAACCUCACAGACAGGAAGACAGUGAGCAGCACCUGUGUAACCUCACAGACAGGAAGACAGUGAGCAGCACCUGUGUAACCUCACAGACAGGAAGACAGUGAGCAGCACCUGUGUAACCUCACAGACAGGAAGACAGUGAGCAACACCUGUGUAACCUCACAGACAGGAAGACAGUGAGCAGCACCUGUGUAACCUCACAGACAGGAAGUCAGUGAGCAGCACCUGUGUAACCUCACAGACAGGAAGACAGUGAGCAGCACCUGUGUAACCUCACAUACAGGAAGACAGUGAGCAGCACCUGUGUAACCUCACAGACAGGAAGACAGUGAGCAGCACCUGUGUAACCUCACAGACAGGAAGACAGUGAGCAGCACCUGUGUAACCUCACAGACAGGAAGACAGUGAGCAGUGCCUGUGUAACCUCACAGACAGGAAGUCAGUGAGCAGCACCUGUGUAACCUCACAGACAGGAAGACAGUGUUCAACGUGCUUCAUUCAGAACAACCUUUGGUCCGACAGAAAACGAACAUUCAUUCAAACCAUUAUGUAACCUCUCUGUUGGAGUUAGAGGCUGGGGACAUUAAGAGGCUGGGGGCCUGGGACAUUAAGAGGCUGGGGACAUUAAGAGGCUGGGGGCCUGGGACAUUAAGAGGCUGGGGACGAUGUUGACAUUGGAACACUUUGUAACCUCUCUGUUGGAGUUAGAGGCUGGGGACAUUAAGAGGCUGGGGGGCUGGGACAUUAAGAGGCUGGGGACGAUGUUGACA